AGAUUUUAAAACAAAAUUGGUGAACAAGUAUAUAUAUGGUCAGAACCCUUGUCAAACAUACGACUUCAUUGAACAAGAGACAUGGAAUGAGUUUUAUCAGUCGCAUACGGGUGAAUCAUAUGAGGCAACAAGGAAAAAAUAUCAAGACAUACAAGCUAAGAAUAUUCAUCCACAUCUUUUAGCUCGAGGAGGUUAUAAAAGGUUGGAGAAGAUGAUGAUGGACGAGAAGUUGAAAGAACAACAAGC
Long non-coding RNA from Ipomoea nil (Japanese morning glory), 246 nucleotides. RefSeq lists it as uncharacterized. NCBI's taxonomy places the organism in Eukaryota, Viridiplantae, Streptophyta, Magnoliopsida, Solanales, Convolvulaceae. The transcript is spliced from 3 exons. The record is from RefSeq and is a predicted model, not a curated record.